This 1245-nucleotide long non-coding RNA is filed under the name Gallus gallus (chicken). RNAcentral describes it as "lncRNA (ENSGALG00010004213.1)". Lineage: Eukaryota; Metazoa; Chordata; Aves; Galliformes; Phasianidae. The record is from RNAcentral.
CUAAAUCUUGGGUAUUAGCUGAUAAGAAGAGGUGUCAGAGGUGUUAUGAAACAAAUCAGAUGAAUAAUGGGCGAACUGUUAUCGCUUUCACAGACCGAAGGCGCGGCGGGCAGAGCGGCCUUCUCACCCCCUUCCCUUCACUUGUCGGGAAUUGGGGCAUUUUUCAGUCGCAUCUUCGCCCUUCUUGGGGGCGGCCUUAGAUUGCCGGCAGCUGUCUUAGAUCAGAGCUGUUUAUUCCACAGCGAAACCACUUUGGAUCGAGACGAGGGAGAGAGCGCAGAGCGGGGGCACCCUCCCGAGCCUUUGAAGCGCCUCUGGUCGUUCGUUCUCUUCUGCUCGGCAAAGUCCAAGCCCUCCACUCUCGUCACAACGCAGAGCCCCGAGAUAAGAGAAGCGUCCUGCACACGAGCACGGUCACACGUCCGAAGUAACAGCGGACCUCCUCUCGCGUUUCCGAAGCUCGGGUGCUCGACGCCGCUAUCCGCCCCAUCCAAAGCGGUUUCUUUCCCCCUUCCCCGCUCCGCUUUUAGAAGAUAUUUCUUUAUUUGGUCAAGGAAUCCUAUCAGCGUCAGGAGAAAAGUUGUGGUUCUAAUUCUCUUAACGUAAGGAGGGGAGAGGGGAAAGAAGCUUAUCUCCCCGCUUUUUAUUUUAUUACUACUAUUGUUGUUGUUUUCAUUGGACACCGACUCGAGCACAUCGUAGCGAAUUUAGAUGCACUUGCAGGACGGGUUGUAGAGUCCACCUUCGGCAUAGGAAGGCCCUUGCGAAGCGCGGGGUGCCGAGAUGAUACAUGCAGCUCCGGAGGCUGUGGGAACCCGAGUCGGAAGCCAGCUUGCUUUUGCUUCGCUUCCCACCGCCAUCCGCUUUCCAAUCCGCGUAAAAGCCUUUUGGUUUUGUCUUAAAAGGCAUCUGAGAACCAACCGUUCGGAAUAAGCAAGGAGUGUGUGAAGGGGGAAUCACCCAAACCUGUAGGAAGCUGGAAUUGGCCCUCUGCGCUUCGACAGCGAAUAGCAGCCACCAAUCACAGAACUGCAGGGGCUGGAACGGACUUCUGGAGAUCAUUGAGACCAACACCCUGCUAAAAGUAUCCGGGAUGAUUCUGGAUUUCGAAUAACUCCAGAGAAAGACAGCCCACAAGUGUUCCAUCCCUUGGAUCAUUUUUCUGGCUCUUCUUUGGGCAUGCUCCAACAGGUGAAAGCAUUUGAAGAAAGAGUGUAAGAAGGGAGGAAAAAAAGAAGUCUUAAA